UUUAAAAGAUUCUGGCCUGGAUAUCUCUCUCUCUGCUUGGAACUGGAUAGAAGAAAGAAGCCUUUCUAGUAUUUCAUUGGAUGACAUGAACUGUUGGAUGGAGAACUGGCUCGAUUCCAGAGACUGUGGAAGAAUGGAAGUUCCUUCUGCAUCUUGCACAAAGUCGCAGCCCUGAUUUCCAGUGCCAUGGUACACAGAAUGGGAAUACUAUUGGCAAUGGUAGCACUAAUUGGUCAAACUGCAUUACUGUUGAAAAUGUAGCUCUGUUGUUGUCUAAGGUAAUUGGUCCAGAUCGUGCCUUGCCCGUACUGCAGGAAUGUGAUUUGACAGCAGAAUUGUCUGAGAGAUUUACCAGGAUCUGCGAAA
Chelonoidis abingdonii (Abingdon island giant tortoise) is the source of this 366-nucleotide non-coding RNA. The record is from RefSeq and is a predicted model, not a curated record. Lineage: Eukaryota; Metazoa; Chordata; Testudines; Testudinidae.